RNAcentral lists this ribosomal RNA (301 nucleotides) under uncultured bacterium. RNAcentral describes it as "partial 16S ribosomal RNA". It matches the Rfam family "Bacterial small subunit ribosomal RNA", at positions 512 to 808 of the family's 1533-position model. The record is from RNAcentral.
CAUAGCCGCGGGAAUACGUAGGUGGCAAGCGUUGUCCGGAAUUAUUGGGCGUAAAGGGCUCGCAGGCGGUUUCUUAAGUCUGAUGUGAAAGCCCCCGGCUCAACCGGGGAGGGUCAUUGGAAACUGGGAAACUUGAGUGCAGAAGAGGAGAGUGGAAUUCCACGUGUAGCGGUGAAACGCGUAGAGAUGUGGAGGAACACCAGUGGCGAAGGCGACUCUCUGGUCUGUAACUGACGCUGAGGAGCGAAAGCGUGGGGAGCGAACAGGAUUAGAUACCCCAGUAGUCCCUGUCUCUUAUACA